Molecule: long non-coding RNA, 2479 nt
Filed under: Ananas comosus (pineapple)
Lineage: Eukaryota; Viridiplantae; Streptophyta; Magnoliopsida; Poales; Bromeliaceae
Description: long non-coding RNA (ACOM_LNC015445)
Source: RNAcentral
UAUUAUCUUAUCAUCAUCAUUUUUGUUUUUAAAGAAAAGUUAUCUUCAUCAGUUUUAUUUUUAAACCAAAUAAGAAUUAGCACUUGGACGAGGAAACAUAGGAAUUAUAAUUUUUUUUUGAUAUAGACUUAGCAUUUCUCUUUCCUAAAUAGGCUUAUAUUAUAGUGUAUAUGUUUCAUUGAGUAAGUAAGGUUGGGGAUGGUUUUCAAAGUAUGCAAUCUUACUCUCUUGCGAUGUGAUCAAUAGGUCACUAAUUAGGCUAGUUACUCUAUAUACUUUUCUGAGUUGAGCUGUAAUACUCUUAAUGGUAUUUAGUUACGAAUAGUGUUCAGUUUUUAGCCAUCAGAUUGCUUUGAGAUUUGAGCCAUAAGUACAGAACGGAAGUUACGGAGUAAGUGGAUUAAAACCGUUAAUGCUCCCAUCCCCUUUGCAUUUCCAAAAAAAGAAAAAAGGAAAAAAAAAAUGGUAGUGAAUGAGCGAUAGAACUUUAUUGCUGCUAGACGACGAAGACAUUGAAGGAGGUCCUGCCGGCAACCAAAGAAUGUGAGGUAAAAAAGCUUCUUUUAAAUUUUCAUCUCAAUAUCUUGUUCUCCUUUGAUCGAUCUCAAUCAUUUUCUCCUCCGAUCUUUAUUCCAACCCAAGAAAUUGCAAGCUCUCCUAACCUUCAGGUCAUCUCUCUCUCUCUCUUUCUCUCGAUCUGUCUCUUUCUCUACCCGCUCGGAAUCCGGCUGUCGGGCUGCCGUCUCCGCUGCCAUCGCAGCCAUCGUCGUCGUCGACGACCAUUCCAGAUACGUGCUCUCGAUCUUCUGGUGCUAGUACUACCUACUUCAGUUGCAAUUAAUACAUACCCACGUACAUUUAAUAUUACAAUUGGAUAAAUUGCAUGUUUAAUCCUCUAACUGCAAGACAGGUAUUAAUUUCACCUCAUUCUUUAAUUUGUUAUAUUUUCUGAUUCUAAUUUUUAGUACUAUCGUAAUCAACUUCUAUAAUUUUCAAUUUAAUUGGUUAGCUAUUGAUGGUAUUACUAAUAUCAAAAUAAGUGAUGUAACAGUAUUCUAAUUCAUAAUGCGCGAAUAAUUAUGAUGUUAUAUUACUUCUAUAUGACUGAUGUCUCAAUAUUUAGCCAAUUAAAUUAGAUUAUAAGACCGUCUCAUACUUAUUCCAAUAUUUGCAACUUUGAAAAAAUUAAGAGAUUUUUUUAAAAAAAUUGACCUUUUUUUUGACGUGCAGUGUCGGAUGUUUAAUCAGAGAGCCUUCUCCUUCGUUUAUUGUCUUUUGCUUUUUUUCAUUUUUUUUAAUGGUUGAAGUAAUAAUCCCACCUUAUUUUGUGAAAAGUGAUGGUAGAUCUAUAAUCGAAGUUAAACUGUAUUUCUAUAAUAUUUUUAUCCAAAAGCUAUGUUUAAAAAUAAAAAAAAUGAUUCUUUUGUCCUCUAUUACCUAAUGUUUAAUCAAAGAACAUUUACUCAUAACUUUCUCUGUUAAAGUAUUUUACAAUUCAAAUUGAAUUAUAAUUCUGUAAUAUUCAUAUGAAAGCUAAUUUUUAUCUAUUAUUUUAUCAUCAUCAUUUUUGUUUUUAAAGAAAAGUUAUCAUCAUCAUUUUUGUUUUUAAACCAAAUAAGAAUUAGCACUUGGACGAGGAAACAUAGGAAUUAUAAUUUUUUUUGAUAUAGACUUAGCAUUUCUCUUUCCUAGAUAGGCUUAUAUUAUAGUGUAUAUGUUUCAUUGAGUAAGUAAGGAUGGGGAUGGUUUUCAAAGUAUGGAAUCUUACUCUCUUGCGAUUUGAUCAAUAGGUCACUAAUUAGGCUAGUUACUCUAUAUACAUUUCUGAGUUGGGCUGUAAUACUCUUAAUGGUAUUUAGUUACGAAUAGUGUCCAGUUUUUAGCCAUCAGAUUGCUUUGAGAUUUGAGCCAUAAGUACAGAACGGAAGUUAAGGAGUAAGUGGAUGAAAACCGUUAAUGGUCCCAUCCCCUUUGCAUUUCCAAAAAAAGAAAAAAGGAAAAAAAAUAUGGUAGUGAAUGAGCGAUAGAACUUUAUUGCUGCUAGACGACGAAGACAUUGAAGGAGGUCCUGCCGGCAACCAAAGAAUGUGAGGUAAAAAAGCUUCUUUUAAAUUUUCAUCUCAAUAUCUUGUUCUCCUUUGAUCGAUCUCAAUCAUUUUCUCCUCCGAUCUUUAUUCCAACCCAAGAAAUUGCUAGCUCUCCUAACCUUCAAGUCAUCUCUCUCUCUCUUUCUCUCGAUCUGUCUCUUUCUCUAAUUUUAAACUAAUGGAAUGAACUAAAUCCUAAACAAAUUGACACUUAAUUGAAUUGAAUCAUAGAUUUUAUUGUUACUAAAUUUAUGUUGCCAAAACUUUAAUAGAGAGAAUUGAACAUUCGCUUGUAAUUGUUUGUAAAUUUUGUGUUGCUGAACUUUAAUAGUGUCUUUUCUAUUUUUUGAUUCAUUUAGAUUGUUAUUUUAAACUUGAUCUCUUAACUUUAC